GACGAACGCUGGCGGCGUGCCUAAUACAUGCAAGUAGUACGCAGUUUCGAACGGGUGAGUAACGCGUAGGUAACUCCCUCUUAGCGGGGGAUAACUAUUGUAAACGCUAGCUAAUACCGCAUAAUAGUAGAUGGACCUGCGUUGUAUUAGCUAGUAGGUAUGGUAAUGGCCUACCUAGGCAACGCUCCAUAGACGACCUGAGAGGGUGAUCGGCCAACCUGGUACUGAGAGACGGCCCAGACUCCUACGGGAGGCAGCAGUAGGGAAUCGUCGGGAAUGGGGGGAACCCUGACCGAGCAACGCCGCGUGAAUGAAGAAGGUGUUCGGAUCGUAAAGCUCUGUUGGUAAGAAAGCGGUACUUAACCAGAAAGUGACGGCUAACUACGUGCCAGCAGCCGCGGUAAUAC
RNAcentral lists this ribosomal RNA (407 nucleotides) under uncultured bacterium. RNAcentral's name for it is "partial 16S ribosomal RNA". It matches the Rfam family "Bacterial small subunit ribosomal RNA", at positions 28 to 526 of the family's 1533-position model. The record is from RNAcentral.